AGAACCAUUAAAAGCAGACUUGAUUUUUAAUGAAGCAGAUGCUUAGAAGUAUAAAGGAUGGGGAGAAUAUUAAGAAGUGUUUGAAGCCUGCUUGGUAAAAUGUGAAUAAAAAUGGUAUAGGAACCAUGAAGAGGAGCUCUUAGCUGUAGUAUCUACUCCACCUAUAGACCACUUGCCACAAUUAGGAUACUUUUCUGUACCUAAGAAGGACUAAUCCCAGUUAGUCCUUAGUACUCCUCUACAUUUUAUUCCCUGCUAAUGUUCCCAGCUACAUAAUUGAGGUUUGCUCAAAUGUUGACUCCUUAAUAAGGCCAUCACUGCCAUAGAAAUUGGCCUUUCUACUGAUCCAUAACCAUUGCUUGCUUUGUACUGCUAUAAGAGCAUCCGUUAUGACCUGCCAUCAUUCUAUUUUAAAAUUUAUGCCCUGAUUUCCAAUUACCAAAUAAUUUGCUUGACAUAAGUAAUUUAUGUACUUUUUGCACAGUGAGCCUGAGACAUACUGCACAAACAGGAGAUGGGAAGGAAAAAAUUGUAUUUAUAAUUUCAAUGGGUAAAUAGGCUUCUAAGUUCUCAUGUUGAAAAAGUAGAAUUCGACGUAGGAUAUUUAAAAAAGUAACAUUUAAUUCUUUUGUUUUGUUAAAUGUAGAAAAUAGACGUAUAAAACUUUGUUGGCUAUUUGUAUUUGGAUGCUAAGUUAAAUAUGUCCUCAGAAAAUAUUUGUUGGCUCUUGGUAGUUGUCUAAUAUUGCUAUACUACUAUACAUAAUUGUAUGAUAAUUGAUCAGUGUCCUAUAUUAUAAAAAUCAAAAUUCAAACUCAAAUUAUUAAUUAUUAAGCCCUGUCACAAUGCUACCAAGUAUCUAUUAUUAGACUGGAUAUUGUGCAUUUGUGUAUAACUUGAAAAAUUAUUGAAUUAGUUUGCCAUGUCUCUGGUUUUAUUGUAAAUACUUAGAUAAUGUUACAUUGUUACAUCAUUUAAAUAUUGCCAAACAAGUAAUGCCUACUUAAUAUAUAUGGCUAUUAUAAUGGAUGAGCAAACAACUUCAUAUUGAUAAAUUAAACAAAAUUGAAAAAAUAAAAAGAGACUAAUGUGAAAUGGAAA
This 1101-nucleotide long non-coding RNA is filed under the name Mus musculus (house mouse). Its description in RNAcentral is "predicted gene, 48992". Lineage: Eukaryota; Metazoa; Chordata; Mammalia; Rodentia; Muridae. The record is from RNAcentral.